RNAcentral lists this ribosomal RNA (440 nucleotides) under uncultured bacterium. RNAcentral describes it as "partial 16S ribosomal RNA". It matches the Rfam family "Bacterial small subunit ribosomal RNA", at positions 338 to 795 of the family's 1533-position model. The record is from RNAcentral.
CCUACGGGAGGCAGCAGUGGGGGAUAUUGCACAAUGGAGGAAACUCUGAUGCAGCGACGCCGCGUGAGGGAAGACGGUCUUCGGAUUGUAAACCUCUGUCUUUGGGGAAGAAAAUGACGGUACCCAAAGAGGAAGCUCCGGCUAACUACGUGCCAGCAGCCGCGGUAAUACGUAGGUGGCAAGCGUUGUCCGGAUUUAUUGGGCGUAAAGCGAGUGCAGGCGGUUCAAUAAGUCUGAUGUGAAAGCCUUCGGCUCAACCGGAGAAUUGCAUCAGAAACUGUUGAUCUUGAGUACUGGAGAGGCAGACGGAAUUCCUAGUGUAGCGGUGAAAUGCGUAGAUAUUAGGAGGAACACCAGUGGCGAAGGCGGUCUGCUGGACAGCAACUGACGGUGAGGCGCGAAAGCGUGGGGAGCAAACAGGAUUAGAUACCCGAGUAGUC